ACCAUGAGAGUUGGAAAUACCCGAAGCCUGUGAGCUAACUUUUAGAGGCAGCAGUCGAAGGUAGAGCCAAUGAUUGGGUGAAGUCGUAACAAGGUACC
Molecule: ribosomal RNA, 98 nt
Filed under: uncultured bacterium
Lineage: Bacteria
Description: partial 16S ribosomal RNA
Rfam family: Bacterial small subunit ribosomal RNA
Source: RNAcentral